RNAcentral lists this ribosomal RNA (672 nucleotides) under uncultured organism. RNAcentral's name for it is "bacterial SSU rRNA". It matches the Rfam family "Bacterial small subunit ribosomal RNA", at positions 470 to 1154 of the family's 1533-position model. The record is from RNAcentral.
UGACAUUACUUCACGAAUAAGGAGCUGCUAAUCUCGUGCCAGAAGCAUCGGUCAUACGGGAGCUCCAAGCGUUAUCCGGAAUUAUUGGGCGUAAAGGGUGUGUAGGCGGGUUUAAUAGUCAGAUGUUAAAUCACAGAGCUUAACUUUGUGGCUGCAUCUGAAACGUUAAAUCUAGAGGCAGGCAGAGGCUAGCGGAACUCAUGGUGUAGCAGUGAAAUGCGUUGAUAUCAUGGGGAACACCAAAGGCGAAAGGCAGCUAGCUGGGCCUUGUCUGACGCUGAGGCACGAAAGCGUGGGGAGCGAAUGGGAUUAGAUACCCCAGUAGUCCACGCCGUAAACGAUGUGCGCUCGGCAUUGGGAGUUUCGACCCUCUCAGUGUCUAAGCUAACGCGAUAAGCGCACCGCCUGGGAAGUACGGCCGCAAGGCUAAAACUCAAAGGAAUAGACGGGGAUCCGCACAAGCGGUGGAGCAUCUGGUUUAAUUUGAUAGUAAGCAAGGAACCUCACCAGGACUAGAAAUCUAGCUGCAUCCCGAUAGAAAUAUUGGGAGCCUUCGAGGGUGCUAGACAGGUGUUGCAUGGCCGUCGUCAGCUCGUGCUGUAAAGUGUUCCAUUAAGUUGGGUAACGAGCGCAACCCCUACUGUGUGUUACAUGUGUCACACGGAACUGCCC